CCACGCGUCUUCUAUUGUCAGAGCUUAACAUACACAUAUCCCCCUUUCAAAGACUCGCAAAAUUUUUCUCAAUUUCUUCAUUUAUAAUUUAUACAGAUUCGCGUAUUACAUACGAAUCGGAAAUUCUGUCAAAAUUUGCAGUCUAUAUCUAGAGGAGCGAAGGAAGGCGCAAGAUUACAGAGAAACUGGCUUCCGAUUAAAAUUCCGGUUCUCACACGAGUUGUUGCUUCUUAACAACAGUGGUGGAGCAGGAAUUAUUUGGUUGAGAGUUCAAUCUCUUCAGUUCUACAAGUGGCUCAGUCUUCAGAAAUACUUGGCAGAGAAUAGCUACUUGGUCGAUGAUGGCUCUUCUUGGAUUGAAAAGACGAGCAAAUGAUUUCACCACUAAUGACAGAAAGCGGAAUUGCAAUAGAGUUAAUGAACCACAGGACAUUGAGAGAGAAGGAAUGGUCGGUGAAAUUACUUUUGAGAUUCUCAAACUGCCGUUCGAAAUAAUAUGCAACAUACUGUCAAGACUUCCUCUCAAGACUAUAAUCUGCUGCAGAAGUGUUUGCAAGAAGUUCCUUAAAAUGCUCAAAGAUCCUUACUUUGCUAAUGUACAUCUUGCCAGAGCUCCUUCCACCACAGCCAGCCUGAUUCUUCAAAGUUAUGGUGGAAAUAAGGGAUUUUACUUCUACACAAUUGACCUUGAUGAAACCUCUCAUGCCAUUUCAGACAGCACAGGUCCAUACAAAUUUCCUUCACCUUGUCGUUCUCAUCAUGAAUUAACUAAGCAGAAUGCCGAAUUCUGCUUCCAGAGCAGGCAUGUUACUUUUGUCGGUUCUUGUAAUGGCCUGCUUUGUUUAUAUUCUUCAUUGCCUAAACCUUUCUACUAUGUGUGCAAUCCUAUUCUUGGUGAAUCUGUCGUUCUUCCUCCUCCAACUCCAUUGGCACCAGAUUCUACUUACUACUUGUCUGGUUUUGGAUUCUGUCCAAAGACUAAACAGUACAAAGUUGUUCGAUUCCUGUGUUCGGUAUCUGUUAACCAUGUCACGAACAGUGUUUCAAAAGAAAUGGCAGCUGAGAUUUACACACUUGGGUCAGAUUCCUGGAGGAGGAUAGGGAAAGCUCCCUGCCCUAAGAGAGGGGGAUCAUUUGAUCCUUUUAUCAAUGGUUCUCUGCACUGGAUCAUUGAAACUGCUAAAACCUCUGAGCAAAUAUGUUCAUUUGACUUGAACACUGAGCAAUUCAGAACUCUACCCUCGCCUCCUCACUUCAAUGCAAACUAUAUUAAAAAAGUUUCCUGGAUAAAUAUUGGUACCCUUGGAGGGCAUUUCUGUUUGUGCUAUAUUUAUGAUGAUGCUUGCUUGGAGGUUUGGGUGAUGAAAGAUUAUGGAGUGAAGGAGUCCUGGAGUAGAGAAUUCAGCAUAGACAUAAAGUUCUAUUGUGGUCUGAAAGUGGAAAAUCUGCGGCAACCCGUUAAAUUCCUGAACAAUGGUGAUAUGUGGCUCAUGUGCAGUUCUAAUUCUCUGGCUUCUUAUAACCCAAGGAAGGGAACUUUCAGAGACUUCAAAGCCCUGGCAAAGUGGAAGUCUGAAGUUAUUGCUCUUGUUCCCAGCUUUGUAUCACUGAAAGAUGCCAUGUCAAGCAAAAAUCUGAGAGUGGAAAGUUUGAGUCGAAGAAUACCGAAAAUUUAUUGUUGAAAUCUUGCUUGCUUGCUUGCUUGCUGCCUGCAUAGAGGAGGUUAGUAGAGGCUUGUAUAGCUAAACUGCUUGGGCAAAAGAAGUAUGUAUUCUCUUAGCAUAUAUGUUUUUAUUUAUUAUUAUACUCUCUCAAUGAGGUUCUGAGGAUUUAUAUUAUAUAGACAGAGCUCGGAUUUUCAACAUAAAACAGUAAAGAGGUGCAGAAAUAAUGAUCUCCCAUGUGUGUAUCCUGCAGACACAUGUUCCUUUCAAUGAGAUGUUUGAUGGUUGAUGAGUUCUGUCAGGCAUGGUU
RNA transcript from Ipomoea nil (Japanese morning glory), 1974 nucleotides. It is a transcript of the gene named F-box protein At3g07870-like, with no coding region annotated. The record is from RefSeq and is a predicted model, not a curated record. The transcript has 3 exons. Lineage: Eukaryota; Viridiplantae; Streptophyta; Magnoliopsida; Solanales; Convolvulaceae.